CUGCUGCAAAAAAACAAAGAGACAUGACCGAGGCCUUCGUUGGUGGAGCUUUUCUCUCUGCUUCAAACCGAGUUCUGUUUGACAGGAUGGGUUCUCUUGACAUCUUGGAUGCAGAGGAUGUUGACAAGAUUGGCUUGCUGAGCUUAAACAUGCUGAUGCGGAGGACCUCUUAGAUGAGAUUGCUACUGAAGCUCUUCGAGCAGGUAGGAAUCCCAGGAUCAAACAACUGUAAUGCAGGUACGUCGUUUUUCCACAUAUAUUGACAGCUUUGUGAUCACAUGAACUAGACUUGGACAGUUCAUUGUUCCUUUUGUCUAUAAGUUUUCAUUGUGGUGCACAUUUUAAACUACUGUAUUAUGACUUGGUAAUUUCCAUUAUUUUCCCUUAUCAAUGGUGGCUCGGAAUUGCUUAAUUACUUAAUUUUAAUGCUGUUUCUAUGAUCCUUUCAGAGUUUUUCUAGUUAUUAAGAUGUAUUAUCAGAGUCUGAAGAUCUCAAUAACUCAAAACUUGAUGAAAGCUGGCAAAGGACCUACAACAAAUCAAAGCAGGCACAAAUACUUAAGGUGAACAUCGAUGCUUUUCUGGUUAGUGCUGGAAGUUAUAUUUCCUAAUACAGGAGGUGACAUGUGCUUAUUGGAGGAAAAAAUAAAAAUAAAAAGGACCUGCAACUAAUGAUCUUCAAUUAUUGUGCUUUAUGUUCCAAGCUGCCAGUUGCUAUAUGAGUUAAUUUUUGCCAGUCAGUUAAGUUCCUUCUGCAUCCAAUCUACUUUGUUCUGGAGGUGACAAAGAAGAAGCUUUGAUGAUUUUUCUAGAUUUAUGCACCAUGAGAAUUUUAAAUGGUCUACUACUAGCUACAGAUACAAGUUGAGUCUCUUUGCAGCUAGUUCUUCUAUCUGCUUCAUUUCAAAGUUUGGAUUGGCAAAACAACAUAGAGGAUCAUCUUACAUUGUUCAUAGACUUUCUUGGAUUUCUGAACUGUAAGAGGUCAAUAAAAAUCACAACCUCCAGUUCGUUCCACGCAGGCCUUUUCGAACGUAAAGAACAGCACCAACACAUUCAACAGCAGAGAGGUAGGGAAGAAGGCCCUUUCAAUCAUAUCCUGCAUGCAGAACUGAAAUUGAAAUGCUUAUGUGAAGCAUAUAUGGGCAAAAUCCUGUUCUUGAUUUUGUUGGAAGUUUUUUCAUGUUCUUGAGGCAUCCAUCCUGUAGUUUAUUAGUCUGAGUAUCAACUGAUAUGGGCCAACAAACUCAUAAACCAAGUGAAAUGGUUAUUAGUCAAAGUAUCAACUAAUUUAGUUGGUUAAGUAUGUAAAAACUUGAGCUAACCAUAGAUGGGUAGCCCAACCAUUCAGGAAAAGACAUUGCUACAAUAUAAGCCGAAACAUAGCAAUUUUGACUUGGGCA
Theobroma cacao (cacao) is the source of this 1403-nucleotide non-coding RNA. NCBI's taxonomy places the organism in Eukaryota, Viridiplantae, Streptophyta, Magnoliopsida, Malvales, Malvaceae. The record is from RefSeq and is a predicted model, not a curated record.